AUUGAACGCUGGCGGCAUGCCUUACACAUGCAAGUCGAACGGCAGCAUGAUCUAGCUUGCUAGAUUGAUGGCGAGUGGCGAACGGGUGAGUAAUACAUCGGAACGUGCCCUGUAGUGGGGGAUAACUAGUCGAAAGAUUAGCUAAUACCGCAUACGACCUGAGGGUGAAAGUGGGGGACCGCAAGGCCUCAUGCUAUAGGAUCGGCCGAUGUCUGAUUAGCUAGUUGGUGAGGUAAAGGCUCACCAAGGCGACGAUCAGUAGCUGGUCUGAGAGGACGAUCAGCCACACUGGGACUGAGACACGGCACAGACUCCUACGGGAGGCAGCAGUGGGGAAUUUUGGACAAUGGGCGAAAGCCUGAUCCAGCAAUGCCGCGUGUGUGAAGAAGGCCUUCGGGUUGUAAAGCACUUUUGUCCGGAAAGAAAUGGCUCUGGUUAAUACCUGGGGUCGAUGACGGUACCGGAAGAAUAAGGACCGGCUAACUACGUG
RNAcentral lists this ribosomal RNA (490 nucleotides) under uncultured bacterium. RNAcentral describes it as "partial 16S ribosomal RNA". It matches the Rfam family "Bacterial small subunit ribosomal RNA", at positions 30 to 507 of the family's 1533-position model. The record is from RNAcentral.